GACGGAGGGCGCGAGCGUUGUUCGGAAUUACUGGGCGUAAAGCGCGCGCAGGCGGGCGUGUAAGUCGGGGGUGAAAUUUCAGGGCUCAACCCUGGAACUGCUUUCGAUACUGCACGUCUAGGGACCGGUAGAGGUCGGUGGAAUUCCCGGUGUAGCGGUGGAAUGCGUAGAGAUCGGGAAGAACACCCGUGGCGAAGGCGGCCGACUGGGCCGGAUCCGACGCUGAGGCGCGAAAGCGUGGGGAG
Molecule: ribosomal RNA, 245 nt
Filed under: uncultured bacterium
Lineage: Bacteria
Description: partial 16S ribosomal RNA
Rfam family: Bacterial small subunit ribosomal RNA
Source: RNAcentral